GACUCGCUUUGCAUGGCAGGCUCCCUGCACUUGUGUGCGGCUAACUGUCUUGGGCUGUCUAUUCACUGUCCCCUUUGAWUGGCUCUUUGGCUCUGAAGGGGUGCUUGGUUUGGUUGCCUGUGCGGUAUUACCAUGUUGGUAGCAUGAUUGUCACGCUGUUGCCUAUUUAGCUUGCUCCGAUGAUGCUUUGCAUCGUUGGGGUGCCGAGGUGUUUGCAAAUUCUAUGUGUUGCCAUGUGCUUGUGCCUUGGAAAUGCAUUUGUGAUUUUGUUGGAUCUCACGGAUAUUGUCCCUUUAGUGAGUGGUCUAGGGGCUUCAAGCUUGUAGACCUAUGAGGUUGCCCGUGCACCUAUCAUUGUUCCUGAUGUUUUGCCAACCAUGUUGUGGUUCUUGCAUCAUUAUGUUGGCGAAUAUACAGGGCAUAUGGUUAUUUGUGUGUGGCAUGCCUCCUUGAUCGCUUGACAUGCGAUUGCUGGUCUGCAUUGUCAUGAGG
This 492-nucleotide unclassified non-coding RNA is filed under the name Cyperus gardneri. RNAcentral describes it as "partial external transcribed spacer 1f". The record is from RNAcentral. Lineage: Eukaryota; Viridiplantae; Streptophyta; Magnoliopsida; Poales; Cyperaceae.